UACAGAGGUCUCAAGCGUUGUUCGGAUUCAUUGGGCGUAAAGGGCGCGUAGGGGGCUGUGCAAGUCUGGUGUGAAAUCUCGGGGCUCAACCCCGAAACUGCACCGGAUACUGCAUGGCUGGAGGACUCUAGAGGAGAGAGGAAUUCACGGUGUAGCAGUGAAAUGCGUAGAGAUCGUGAGGAAGACCAGUUGCGAAGGCGUCUCUCUGGGCAGUUCCUGACACUGAGGCACGAAGGCCAGGGGAGCAAACGGG
Molecule: ribosomal RNA, 253 nt
Filed under: uncultured bacterium
Lineage: Bacteria
Description: partial 16S ribosomal RNA
Rfam family: Bacterial small subunit ribosomal RNA
Source: RNAcentral